Etheostoma cragini (Arkansas darter) is the source of this 270-nucleotide long non-coding RNA. RefSeq lists it as uncharacterized. The transcript is spliced from 3 exons. NCBI's taxonomy places the organism in Eukaryota, Metazoa, Chordata, Actinopteri, Perciformes, Percidae. The record is from RefSeq and is a predicted model, not a curated record.
AUCAACGCCAUGCAGAAAACCAGCUGGUUGCCUAGAGCAGGAUGAGUCUUUAGUGACCCUACCACGGAUUGCCACUUCAUCUUGGGACCCAGUCGAAGAAGAACUCACACAGAGGGAGGUGGCUCAGACAUGGAGAUCAAAAUAAGAGCAACUUUUCCUGUCAACCCUCGGUGGUUGUACUGGAGGCAAUUCCAUCCGCCGCAUGCUGCGGCAAGAUGCAACGCAUGAUGUGCUGAGACAGUACAGCUUGCAUGGAAGAAAAACAAAGAG